Molecule: non-coding RNA, 80 nt
Organism: Annulohypoxylon truncatum
Lineage: Eukaryota; Fungi; Ascomycota; Sordariomycetes; Xylariales; Hypoxylaceae
Source: the annotation of a RefSeq genome assembly
GGGCAUGUGGUGUAACUGGUACCCCUCUGGGUCUCACUUUCCGGCCCCCAGAGUUGUCGGUUCGAAUCCGACCGCGUCCA